CCUACGGGAGGCAGCAGUGGGGAAUAUUGCACAAUGGGCGAAAGCCUGAUGCAGCGACGCCGCGUGAGGGAUGACGGCCUUCGGGUUGUAAACCUCUUUCAGCAGGGAAGAAGCGCAAGUGACGGUACCUGCAGAAGAAGCACCGGCUAACUACGUGCCAGCAGCCGCGGUAAUACGUAGGGUGCGAGCGUUGUCCGGAAUUAUUGGGCGUAAAGAGCUCGUAGGCGGUCUGUCACGUCGGAUGUGAAAGCCCGGGGCUUAACCCCGGGUCUGCAUUCGAUACGGGCAGACUAGAGUGUGGUAGGGGAGAUCGGAAUUCCUGGUGUAGCGGUGAAAUGCGCAGAUAUCAGGAGGAACACCGGUGGCGAAGGCGGAUCUCUGGGCCAUUACUGCCGCUGAGGAGCGAAAGCGUGGGGAGCGAACAGGAUUAGAUACCCUGGUAGUCCACGCCGUAAACGUUGGGAACUAGGUGUUGGCGACAUUCCACGUCGUCGGUGCCGCAGCUAACGCAUUAAGUUCCCCGCCUGGGGAGUCGGCCGCAAGGCUAAAACUUAAAUGAAUUGACGGCUGGAGACGNGCGACGACGACGACGAGGGAGAGG
RNAcentral lists this ribosomal RNA (601 nucleotides) under uncultured bacterium. Its description in RNAcentral is "bacterial SSU rRNA". It matches the Rfam family "Bacterial small subunit ribosomal RNA", at positions 338 to 950 of the family's 1533-position model. The record is from RNAcentral.